Molecule: long non-coding RNA, 2731 nt
Organism: Acinonyx jubatus (cheetah)
Lineage: Eukaryota; Metazoa; Chordata; Mammalia; Carnivora; Felidae
Exons: 3
Source: RefSeq, a predicted model, not a curated record
CUGGGCUUCCCAGAACGCGACACCGCCUUGGGGCCUGAGACCCUGGGAGGCAGGCCCAGGGACCUGGGGCUUUGCUCCUAGGCCUCAUCUACUGCACAGAGGGCUCCUUGUCACGCUGUCUCCCUGAGUCGUGGCCUAGGAGCUGUGUGAGUCAUUGAUUCUCCAAUAGUUUGUUCUCAGGAUAUCUAUACAGUCUUACAAAUUAGUGAGGAUCCCAGGGAUAAGUUUGUGUCUGUGGGUAUAUCUAUCAAUAUUUACCAUAGUAGGAAUAAAACAGGUUUAAAUAUUUUUAAAUUCAUUUGUAAUCAUAUGAAAACUGAAAUAUGGUUUUGAUUAAAAAUAACAAUUUUCCCAAAUAAAAGGGGCAGUGAGAACACUGGUUUUGUUUCAUUUUCCAGUUUGCAAUCUCUUUCUUGUCUGUCUGUUAGUAGACCACUAGACGUUAAGAUUUGCCUCUGCAUCUAUUGUGUUGUUUUGGUUGAAGUAUAUGAAAAAAAUUUACAUCCUUGACCAUAGGAGGAUACUAUGUAUCAUAACCUUUUCAGAUAAUUAUGGAUAUUCAUCUUUGAUAUUAUGUUAAAACUACACAAGUUGUACCUCCUCUGAGGUUAUUUGCAAACUGGAUCUUGAAACAGCAUCAUUGACUGUCUCCUGUGUUACAUUCAAUCCAUAGGCCCAUCUACAUAUGGAAUGGAUGUGUACUAAUGCAUGAUUGUUGCAUUAGUGGCUCAUGUCCCACAGGAGAAUAAUAUGGCCCAGUGGUGGCAUCAGCCAGCUUCUAACCACACUGAGGCCCAGCUGUCAUUGUCAGAUCAGUUCCUGAUGUGCGGGCUGCUGUUUUUUCUGUCUUCAAUUCCAUUUUUUAAAAUAGUUAUGUUUUAAAAAUAAUUGGUGUUUUUGGGAGCCUGGGUGGCUCAGUUGGUUAAGUGUCUGACUCUUGAUCUCAUGGUUUAUGAGAUGGAGCCCUGUGUCAGGCUCCGCAUUGACAGGGUGGAGUCUGCUUGGGAUUCUCUCUGUCUCUGCCUCUCCCCUGCUCAUACUCACUCUAUCCUUCUCUGUCUCAUUAUAAAUAAAUAAACUUAAAAAAAUUUUUUUAAUAUAUAUUUUUUAACGUUUAUUUAUUUUUGAGACAGAGAGAGACAGAGCAUGAAUGGAGGAGGGUCAGAGAGAGAGGGAGACACAGAAUCUGAAACAGGCUCCAGGCUCUGAGCUGUCAGCACAGAGCCCGAUGUGGGGCUCGAACUCACGGACUGCGAGAUCAUGACCUGAACUGAAGUCGGACGCUUAACUGACUGAGCCAGCCAGGUGCCCCAAUAAAUAAAUAAACUUUUAAAACCAUCUGGAAGGACUUUUAAAUUCUUAAAAAUCCCAAUAUACAUUGGCCUGUUAGGGUUCUUAAGUGUUUAUUUCUUCUUGUAUCACUCCCUAAGGAGAAGCAUUCUCUCAGCUUACCGACUGUGUAACUUAUUCACACUAAAACUACUCCCAGAUUUAGGGUAGGUCUUAGCUUUAAUGUUUUAUAAGGAGGAAUAUUGGUCAUGGUCUUUCCAGACCCUACUUCCAAUAUUUAUCCUUUUGUCAUGGAGUACCUCCUUCCUGUCUCCUAACAUGUCUGCCAAAUUUGGUUACUGUUCUCUGUAUCUCCUCAGAGGCCGAUCUACUCAGGAAAAUCAGAACCAGAUGAGAGAAAGGAAAGGCAGAGAUUUUUGUGAAGUCUGUGCAGUGUUACAUGGCCCUGGCCCAACUCCCGGUGGAGCAGAACUUCCCAGCCAUUGCUAUCCACUGUGGGACAUCCUGGGAGGAGAGGUGAGUCAGAGAUGGAAAGAUGUUUUGUGUCCUUGGGAUGACAUGAGACCCCUGAGAGAAAGGACUGUGAACAUUUUUCUAAUUUUCAUUCUGACAAAGCCUUUCUUGGUGUCCAUAGUUCAAGACCUUUCAUGAUGAAUUCUUGUGGCCACCAACCUUAUUUGGCCGAGGCAUGGACAUUGAGCAGGUAAACACUGCCAUCAACUGCCACCUGCCUGAGGAAUCCCACACCUACCUGGAUCAGGAGGCCUGAGCAGGCCAGUUCGCCCAAGGGCUUGGCCAUUACAUUUGUGUCAAGUGAAAACAAUGCCAAGAUCCUCAAUGAGGUGCAGGGUCACAUUGAGGUCAGUCGUAGUGAGCUGCCUGAUGAGAUGGAUAUUUCCUCCUCCCAUGAGUAUCGAUCUCAUGAAACUGGUUCCUCCAAGUCUUCAGAGUCUCCUCAUUCCUCAGUGACUUUGUCUUGAAACAAAGUGCAGGCAGUGGUGCCUGAUGCCUAAUGGGUGCCUGACAAGUUUAUGCCCUGAUCUUGAUGCCAUGUUGGGAUAUUUUGUUUAUUUCUAUGUGGGAUCUCUUUCCUCUCUCGUCCAAUUAAUUUUCUUUUUUGCACCUCAGUCUUUCCCCUGACCCCACACCCCACAUGAACAUCUGCAUGUAUAGGGGUCUGUGUUUCUGCCGGUCUAACUUAGCCUUUCCAUGCCUUAUUGUAACUGUUCUCUGCAGUUGCAGCCAUGGGAGAGGACGCACCCAUUCGAAGAGACUGAUGGAGGUCUCACACCCACAAACCAUGAGAUCAUGCAUGACCUCAGCUGAAAUCAAGAGUCGGAUGCCCACCCGACUGACCCACCCAGGCACUCCUAGAGUUUAUUCUUCCUAAUUAAUUUCUUUUUAAAGAUAUUUUAAAUUUGAAUAUAGUUGACACACAAGA